AAGGAGUGCUAAUACCGGAUAAUGCAGCGGCACCGCAUGGUGAUGUUGUUAAAGUUUGAGUAAUGCCUAUAGAUGAGCUUGCGCCUGAUUAGCUAGUUGGUAGGGUAAUGGCCUACCAAGGCGACGAUGGGUAGCCGGCCUGAGAGGGUGACCGGCCACACUGGAACUGAGACACGGUCCAGACUCCUACGGGAGGCAGCAGUGAGGAAUAUUGGGCAAUGCCCGCAAGGGUGACCCAGCAACGCCGCGUGGAGGAUGAAGGCCGUAAGGUUGUAAACUCCUGUUAGAGGAGAAGAACAGUACCGAUUGGAUCGGUAUUUGACUGUACCCUCAGAGAAAGCCCCGGCUAACUACGUGCCAGCAGCCGCGGUAAUACGUAGGGGGCAAGCGUUGUCCGGAAUUACUGGGCGUAAAGGGCGCGUAGGCGGAAUGUCAAGUCAGAGGUGAAAUCCUACAGCUUAACUGUAGAACUGCCUUUGAUACUGUUAUUCUUGAGUUCGGGAGAGAGAGACGGAAUUCCAGGUGUAGCGGUGAAAUGCGUAGAUAUUAGGAGGAACACCAGUGGCGAAGGCGGCUUUCUGGACUGUAACUGACGCUGAGGCACGAAAGCGUGGGGAGCAAACAGGAUUAGAUACCCUGGUAGUCCACGCUGUAAACGAUGGAUACUAGGUGUGGGGGAGAUACAACCUCCGUGCCGCAGCUAACGCAAUAAGUAUCCCGCCUGGGGAGUACGGCCGCAAGGCUGAAACUCAAAGGAAUUGACGGGGGCCCGCACAAGCAGUGGAGCAUGUGGUUUAAUUCGAUGCAACGCGAAGAACCUUACCUAGGCUUGACAUACUCGGCGCAAGGCCCUGGAGACAGGGAGAUAGUUAUGGCGGAGACAGGUGGUGCAUGGUUGUCGUCAGCUCGUGUCGUGAGAUGUUGGGUUAAGUCCCGCAACGAGCGCAACCCUUAUCUUUAGUUGCCAUCAUUCAGUUGGGCACUCUAGAGAGACUGCCGGUGACAAACCGGAGGAAGGUGGGGAUGACGUCAAAUCAUCAUGCCCCUUAUGACCUGGGCUACACACGUGCUACAAUGGCCGGUACAAAGGGAGGCGAAGCCGCGAGGUGGAGCAAACCGAAAAAGCUGGUCUCAGUUCGGAUUGUAGGCUGCAACUCGCCUACAUGAAGUUGGAGUUGCUAGUAAUCGCGAAUCAGAACGUCGCGGUGAAUGCGUUCCCGGGUCUUGUACACACCGCCCGUCACACCAUGGAAGUUGAGGGCGCCCGAAGC
Molecule: ribosomal RNA, 1271 nt
Filed under: uncultured bacterium
Lineage: Bacteria
Description: bacterial SSU rRNA
Rfam family: Bacterial small subunit ribosomal RNA
Source: RNAcentral